CGCGGGCGCGGGCGCGGGCGCGGCGGGCUGCUCUGUCGGGUGAGCAGAUGGAGAAACCGAGGCCCCGGGAAGGCGGACGUUGGUAGACGUGGACGAGCGAAAGGGUGUCACUUCCCAGUGGUCACAUGGGGGAGACUAAGGCCCAGAGGAGGCCGGACACUGUCAGGCUUAGAGUUUUUUGAAGCAACCCUGUGCUAGGCUCUGAACACACGAGAAAAAGAAGGCCCAGAGAAGGCCAGACAUUGCCAGAUACGAAGUGAACGUACACAGCCUAUAGAAAAAAUCACUCUGAAAAAGAAAAAAGGGACAUUAAAACCUUCAGCCAGGCAAGGGCAUGGUGACUGAAUCGUAGCUCCCAGACCAAGCUCUCUGGGUCCCCGCUACAACAAGGAGUUCUCAAGGCCUCCUGGGGGCGACAAAGACCAUGAUCCGGAAGGUCUCCACCCACCUGGGCACCUGAACGGGCAGAUCGUCCCAGUGGCAGCCAGACACCCUUCGGGCAGCUCCCACGCCCUUCCCCAGUCCUCUCCCCACAGACCCUGGGCUGGCUGUGCGCGCCUACCGCAUCCCCGAGAGCAGAAACAGGAACACAGCGCCCGGCGCCGCCUGCGGUGCUGCCCCCUGCCACUGCUUGCAGGCCUUUCCGCCGAUGGGGCAAGCGUCCAUGAGAGUGUAUAUAACCACGAUGCCUGGCCCACAGUAGCCAGAUGACAACGACGACAAAGAAGACCACAACUGAAGAGCCUGAAGAGUUGAAACACCGCGCAGUCUCUA
Long non-coding RNA from Tupaia belangeri chinensis (Chinese tree shrew), 774 nucleotides. RefSeq lists it as uncharacterized. The transcript is spliced from 5 exons. NCBI's taxonomy places the organism in Eukaryota, Metazoa, Chordata, Mammalia, Scandentia, Tupaiidae. The record is from RefSeq and is a predicted model, not a curated record.